This 73-nucleotide transfer RNA is filed under the name Hortaea werneckii EXF-2000. Its description in RNAcentral is "tRNA-Lys (CTT) (tRNA-Lys-CTT-1-1)". It matches the Rfam family "tRNA". Rfam says of the family: Transfer RNA (tRNA) molecules are approximately 80 nucleotides in length. The record is from RNAcentral. Lineage: Eukaryota; Fungi; Ascomycota; Dothideomycetes; Mycosphaerellales; Teratosphaeriaceae. RNAcentral also lists the same sequence under 2 other names.
GCCGGGGUAGCUCAAUCGGUAGAGCGUGUGGCUCUUAACCUCAAGGUCGCGGGUUCGAGCCCCGCCUUCGGCU